RNAcentral lists this ribosomal RNA (404 nucleotides) under Bacillota bacterium. Its description in RNAcentral is "Firmicutes bacterium partial 16S ribosomal RNA". It matches the Rfam family "Bacterial small subunit ribosomal RNA", at positions 355 to 776 of the family's 1533-position model. The record is from RNAcentral. Lineage: Bacteria; Bacillati; Bacillota.
UCGGGAAUUUUGGGCAAUGGGGGAAACCCUGACCCAGCAACGCCGCGUGAAGGAUGAAGUAUUUCGGUAUGUAAACUUCGAAAGAAUAGGAAGAAUUAAUGACGGUACUAUUGAUAAGGUCCGGCUAACUACGUGCCAGCAGCCGCGGUAAUACGUAGGGACCAAGCGUUGUUCGGAUUUACUGGGCGUAAAGGGCGCGUAGGCGGCGCGGUAAGUCACUUGUGAAAUCUCUGAGCUUAACUCAGAACGGCCAAGUGAUACUGCAGUGCUAGAGUGUGGAAGGGGCAAUCGGAAUUCUUGGUGUAGCGGUAAAAUGCGUAGAUAUCAAGAGGAACACCUGAGGUGAAGACGGGUUGCUGGGCCAACACUGACGCUGAGGCGCGAAAGCCAGGGGAGCAAACGGG